CCUACGGGUGGCAGCAGUGGGGAAUAUUGCACAAUGGGGGAAACCCUGAUGCAGCGACGCCGCGUGAGUGAAGAAGUACUUCGUUAUGUAAAGCUCUAUCAGCAGGGAAGAAAAUGACGGUACCUGAGUAAGAAGACCCGGCUAACUACGUGCCAGCAGCCGCGGUAAUACGUAGGGGGAAAGCGUUAUCCGGAGUGACGGGGUGGAAAGGGAGCGUAGACGGCAGUUCAAGUCUGGAGUGAAAGGCGGGGGCUCAACCCCCGGACUGCUCUCGACACUGUACGGCUGGAGUGCAGGAGGGGUAAGUGGAAUUCCUAGUGUAGCGGUGGAAGGCGUAGAUAUUAGGAGGAACACCAGUGGCGAAGGCGGCUUACUGGACUGUAACUGACGUUGAGGCUCGAAAGCGUGGGGAGCAAACAGGAUUAGAUACCCCAGUAGUC
RNAcentral lists this ribosomal RNA (440 nucleotides) under uncultured bacterium. RNAcentral's name for it is "partial 16S ribosomal RNA". It matches the Rfam family "Bacterial small subunit ribosomal RNA", at positions 338 to 795 of the family's 1533-position model. The record is from RNAcentral.